RNAcentral lists this ribosomal RNA (423 nucleotides) under uncultured bacterium. RNAcentral describes it as "bacterial SSU rRNA". It matches the Rfam family "Bacterial small subunit ribosomal RNA", at positions 358 to 773 of the family's 1533-position model. The record is from RNAcentral.
GGAAUUUUGGACAAUGGGCGCAAGCCUGAUCCAGCCAUUCCGCGUGCAGGAUGAAGGCCCUCGGGUUGUAAACUGCUUUUGUACGGAACGAAAAGGCUCUGGUUAAUACCUGGGGCUCAUGACGGUACCGUAAGCAUAAGCACCGGCUAACUACGGGCCAGCCGCCGCGGUAAUACGUAGGGUGCAAGCGUUAAUCGGAAUUACUGGGCGUAAAGCGUGCGCAGGCGGUGAUGUAAGACAGGUGUGAAAUCCCCGGGCUUAACCUGGGAACUGCAUUUGUGACUGCAUCGCUGGAGUGCGGCAGAGGGGGAUGGAAUUCCGCGUGUAGCAGUGAAAUGCGUAGAUAUGCGGAGGAACACCGAUGGCGAAGGCAAUCCCCUGGGCCUGCACUGACGCUCAUGCGCGAAAGCGUGGGGAGCAAAC